GAACGCUAGCUACAGGCUUAACACAUGCAAGUCGAGGGGCAGCAUGGUCUUAGCUUGCUAAGGCCGAUGGCGACCGGCGCACGGGUGAGUAACACGUAUCCAACCUGCCGUCUACUCUUGGACAGCCUUCUGAAAGGAAGAUUAAUACAAGAUGGCAUCAUGAGUCCGCAUGUUCACAUGAUUAAAGGUAUUCCGGUAGACGAUGGGGAUGCGUUCCAUUAGAUAGUAGGCGGGGUAACGGCCCACCUAGCCUUCGAUGGAUAGGGGUUCUGAGAGGAAGGUCCCCCACAUUGGAACUGAGACACGGUCCAAACUCCUACGGGAGGCAGCAGUGAGGAAUAUUGGUCAAUGGGCGAGAGCCUGAACCAGCCAAGUAGCGUGAAGGAUGACUGCCCUAUGGGUUGUAAACUUCUUUUAUAAAGGAAUAAAGUCGGGUAUGGAUACCCGUUUGCAUGUACUUUAUGAAUAAGGAUCGGCUAACUCCGUGCCAGCAGCCGCGGUAAUACGGAGGAUCCGAGCGUUAUCCGGAUUUAUUGGGUUUAAAGGGAGCGUAGAUGGAUGUUUAAGUCAGUUGUGAAAGUUUGCGGCUCAACCGUAAAAUUGCAGUUGAUACUGGAUAUCUUGAGUGCAGUUGAGGCAGGCGGAAUUCGUGGUGUAGCGGUGAAAUGCUUAGAUAUCACGAAGAACUCCGAUUGCGAAGGCAGCCUGCUAAGCUGCAACUGACAUUGAGGCUCGAAAGUGUGGGUAUCAAACAGGAUUAGAUACCCUGGUAGUCCACACGGUAAACGAUGAAUACUCGCUGUUUGCGAUAUACGGCAAGCGGCCAAGCGAAAGCGUUAAGUAUUCCACCUGGGGAGUACGCCGGCAACGGUGAAACUCAAAGGAAUUGACGGGGGCCCGCACAAGCGGAGGAACAUGUGGUUUAAUUCGAUGAUACGCGAGGAACCUUACCCGGGCUUAAAUUGCAGAUGAAUUACGGUGAAAGCCGUAAGCCGCAAGGCAUCUGUGAAGGUGCUGCAUGGUUGUCGUCAGCUCGUGCCGUGAGGUGUCGGCUUAAGUGCCAUAACGAGCGCAACCCUUGUUGUCAGUUACUAACAGGUUCCGCUGAGGACUCUGACAAGACUGCCAUCGUAAGAUGUGAGGAAGGUGGGGAUGACGUCAAAUCAGCACGGCCCUUACGUCCGGGGCUACACACGUGUUACAAUGGGGGGUACAGAGGGCCGCUACCACGCGAGUGGAUGCCAAUCCCCAAAACCUCUCUCAGUUCGGACUGGAGUCUGCAACCCGACUCCACGAAGCUGGAUUCGCUAGUAAUCGCGCAUCAGCCACGGCGCGGUGAAUACGUUCCCGGGCCUUGUACACACCGCCCGUCAAGCCAUGGGAGCCGGGGGUACCUGAAGUGCGUAACCGCGAGGAGCGCCCUAGGGUAAAACUGGUGACUGG
This 1443-nucleotide ribosomal RNA is filed under the name uncultured organism. RNAcentral describes it as "SSU rRNA". It matches the Rfam family "Bacterial small subunit ribosomal RNA". The record is from RNAcentral.